RNAcentral lists this ribosomal RNA (301 nucleotides) under uncultured bacterium. Its description in RNAcentral is "partial 16S ribosomal RNA". It matches the Rfam family "Bacterial small subunit ribosomal RNA", at positions 509 to 809 of the family's 1533-position model. The record is from RNAcentral.
CAGUCGCCGCCGUAAUACGAAGGGUGCAAGCGUUACUCGGAAUUACUGGGCGUAAAGCGUGCGUAGGUGGUGGUUUAAGUCCGAUGUGAAAUCCCCGGGCUCAACCUGGGAACUGCAUUUGUGACUGGCAAGCUAGAGUGUGGCAGAGGGGGGUGGAAUUCCGCGUGUAGCAGUGAAAUGCGUAGAUAUGCGGAGGAACACCGAUGGCGAAGGCAGCCCCCUGGGCCAAUACUGACGCUCAUGCACGAAAGCGUGGGGAGCAAACAGGAUUAGAUACCCGGGUAGUCCCUGUCUCUUAUAA